RNAcentral lists this ribosomal RNA (253 nucleotides) under uncultured bacterium. RNAcentral describes it as "partial 16S ribosomal RNA". It matches the Rfam family "Bacterial small subunit ribosomal RNA", at positions 524 to 776 of the family's 1533-position model. The record is from RNAcentral.
UACGUAGGGUGCGAGCGUUAAUCGGAAUUACUGGGCGUAAAGCGUGCGCAGGCGGUUCGUUAAGUUCGAUGUGAAAGCCCCGGGCUCAACCUGGGAACUGCAUUGGAAACUGGCGAGCUUGAAUGCGGCAGAGGGGGGUGGAAUUCCGCGUGUAGCAGUGAAAUGCGUAGAGAUGCGGAGGAACACCGAUGGCGAAGGCAGCCCCCUGGGCCGACAUUGACGCUCAGGCACGAAAGCGUGGGGAGCAUACAGG